CAAAUUAGAGCUUGAAUAAGUUUUUCAUUUACAUUGAAAUAAUAUUGUAUAAUUACAAUUAAUUUGU
Molecule: transfer RNA, 67 nt
Filed under: Elophila turbata
Lineage: Eukaryota; Metazoa; Arthropoda; Insecta; Lepidoptera; Crambidae
Description: tRNA-Val
Source: RNAcentral